Molecule: ribosomal RNA, 462 nt
Filed under: uncultured bacterium
Lineage: Bacteria
Description: bacterial SSU rRNA
Rfam family: Bacterial small subunit ribosomal RNA
Source: RNAcentral
CGCUGGCGGCGUGCUUAACACAUGCAAGUCGAACGAGAACGGAUUAUAGCUUGCUAUAAUUGUCAGCUAAGUGGCGCACGGGUGAGUAAUAUAUAGGUAACGUGCCCCAAAGAAGAGGAUAACAGGUGGAAACGUCUGCUAAGACUCUAUAUGCCUUUAUGACAAAAGUCAGCAAGGGAAAUAUUUAUAGCUUUGGGAUCGGCCUGUACAGUAUCAGUUAGUUGGUGAGGUUAUGGCUCACCAAGACAAUGACGCUUAACUGGUUUGAGAGGAUGAUCAGUCACACUGGAACUGAGACACGGUCCAGACUCCUACGGGAGGCAGCAGUGGGGAAUAUUGCACAAUGGACGAAAGUCUGAUGCAGCAACGCCGCGUGGAGGAUGACACAUUUCGGUGCGUAAACUCCUUUUAUAUAGGAAGAUAAUGACGGUACUAUAUGAAUAAGCACCGGCUAACUCCGUG